AGAGUUUGAUCCUGGCUCAGGAUGAACGCUAGCUACAGGCUUAACACAUGCAAGUCGAGGGGCAGCAUGGCCUAGCAAUAGGUUGAUGGCGACCGGCGCACGGGUGAGUAACACGUAUCCAACCUACCGGUUAUUCCGGGAUAGCCUUUCGAAAGAAAGAUUAAUACCGGAUAGUAUAGCGAGAAGGCAUCUUCUUGUUAUUAAGAAUUUCGAUAACCGAUGGGGAUGCGUUCCAUUAGUUUGUUGGCGGGUAACGGCCCACCAAGACAUCGAUGGAUAGGGGUUCUGAGAGGAAGGUCCCCCACAUUGGAACUGAGACACGGUCCAAACUCCUACGGGAGGCAGCAGUGAGGAAUAUUGGUCAAUGGACGAGAGUCUGAACCAGCCAAGUAGCGUGAAAAGGAUGACUGCCCUAUGGGUUGUAAACUUCUUUUAUAUGGGAAUAAAGUGAGCCACGUGUGGCUUUUUGUAUGUACCAUACGAAUAAGGAUCGGCUAACUCCGUGCCAGCAGCUGC
Molecule: ribosomal RNA, 516 nt
Filed under: uncultured bacterium
Lineage: Bacteria
Description: bacterial SSU rRNA
Rfam family: Bacterial small subunit ribosomal RNA
Source: RNAcentral